CACUUACCUGGCUAAUGUGGUCAAUCUAUUUUUUGAUUAGGCCACUUACUAAUUCAAGUUCACCCAUACUAUCUAGGUUAGUCAGUCAAACUAAUUAAGAUGUCCUUAGACCAGCUUAGUCUCUUAUCCUCUUCGAAGACUUAGUGAAGUCAGCAGGAGAAUUUUCUAAUUAUUGGUUGAUUUCUUGGUUCUUUUGCAUAUAAAUGAUCAUCAUCAUGUCUUAGACCCUCUAAAUUAUUAGAUCCUUAAAAUGACAUAGUUGUAAC
Molecule: long non-coding RNA, 266 nt
Filed under: Elaeis guineensis (African oil palm)
Lineage: Eukaryota; Viridiplantae; Streptophyta; Magnoliopsida; Arecales; Arecaceae
Description: long non-coding RNA (EGUI_LNC039027)
Source: RNAcentral